AACGAACGCUGGCGGCAUGCCUAACACAUGCAAGUCGAACGAGACCUUCGGGUCUAGUGGCGCACGGGUGCGUAACGCGUGGGAACCUGCCCUUAGGUUCGGAAUAACUCCCCGAAAGGGGUGCUAAUACCGGAUAAUGUCUUCGGACCAAAGAUUUAUCGCCUUUGGAUGGGCCCGCGUUGGAUUAGCUAGUUGGUAGGGUAAAAGCCUACCAAGGCGACGAUCCAUAGCUGGUCUGAGAGGAUGAUCAGCCACACUGGGACUGAGACACGGCCCAGACUCCUACGGGAGGCAGCAGUGGGGAAUAUUGGACAACGGGCGGAAGCCUGAUGCAGCAACGCCGCGUGCGGGAUGACGGCCUUCGGGUUGUAAACCGCUUUCGCCUGUGACGAAGCGUGAGUGACGGUAAUGGGUAAAGAAGCACCGGCUAACUACGUG
Molecule: ribosomal RNA, 438 nt
Filed under: uncultured bacterium
Lineage: Bacteria
Description: partial 16S ribosomal RNA
Rfam family: Bacterial small subunit ribosomal RNA
Source: RNAcentral